UACGAAGGGGGCUAGCGUUGCUCGGAAUCACUGGGCGUAAAGCGCACGUAGGCGGACUCUUAAGUCGGUGGUGAAAUCCUGGAGCUCAACUCCAGAACUGCCUUCGAUACUGAGAGUCUCGAGUCCGGGAGAGGUGAGUGGAAUUCCUGGUGUAGCGGUGGAAUGCGCAGAUAUCAGGAGGAACACCAAUAGCGAAGGCAGCUCGCUGGGACGGUACUGACGCUAAGGCGCGAAAGCGUGGGGAGCGAACAGG
RNAcentral lists this ribosomal RNA (253 nucleotides) under uncultured bacterium. RNAcentral describes it as "partial 16S ribosomal RNA". It matches the Rfam family "Bacterial small subunit ribosomal RNA", at positions 524 to 776 of the family's 1533-position model. The record is from RNAcentral.